This 253-nucleotide ribosomal RNA is filed under the name uncultured bacterium. Its description in RNAcentral is "partial 16S ribosomal RNA". It matches the Rfam family "Archaeal small subunit ribosomal RNA", at positions 474 to 727 of the family's 1478-position model. The record is from RNAcentral.
UACCAGCACCCCGAGUGGUCGGGACGUUUAUUGGGCCUAAAGCAUCCGUAGCCGGUUCUACAAGUCUUCCGUUAAAUCCAACUGCUUAACAGGUGGGCUGCGGAAGAUACUAUAGAGCUAGGAGGCGGGAGAGGCAAGCGGUACUCGAUGGGUAGGGGUAAAAUCCGUUGAUCCCUUGAAGACCACCAGUGGCGAAGGCGGCUUGCCAGAACGCGCUCGACGGUGAGGGAUGAAAGCUGGGGGAGCAAACCGG